GGAGUUGUGGCUCAGUAGUAGAGGGCUUGCCUAGCAUGUAUGAGGCACUGGGUUCAAUUCUCAGCACCA
This 69-nucleotide transfer RNA is filed under the name Marmota marmota marmota (Alpine marmot). It matches the Rfam family "tRNA". Rfam says of the family: Transfer RNA (tRNA) molecules are approximately 80 nucleotides in length. Their secondary structure includes four short double-helical elements and three loops (D, anti-codon, and T loops). RNAcentral also lists the same sequence under 1 other name. Lineage: Eukaryota; Metazoa; Chordata; Mammalia; Rodentia; Sciuridae. The record is from Rfam by way of RNAcentral.